This 465-nucleotide ribosomal RNA is filed under the name Vreelandella stevensii. RNAcentral describes it as "partial 16S ribosomal RNA". It matches the Rfam family "Bacterial small subunit ribosomal RNA", at positions 338 to 795 of the family's 1533-position model. The record is from RNAcentral. Lineage: Bacteria; Pseudomonadati; Pseudomonadota; Gammaproteobacteria; Oceanospirillales; Halomonadaceae.
CCUACGGGGGGCAGCAGUGGGGAAUAUUGGACAAUGGGGGGAACCCUGAUCCAGCCAUGCCGCGUGUGUGAAGAAGGCCCUCGGGUUGUAAAGCACUUUCAGUGAGGAAGAACGCCUGGUGGUUAAUACCCAUCAGGAAAGACAUCACUCACAGAAGAAGCACCGGCUAACUCCGUGCCAGCAGCCGCGGUAAUACGGAGGGUGCGAGCGUUAAUCGGAAUUACUGGGCGUAAAGCGCGCGUAGGUGGCUUGAUAAGCCGGUUGUGAAAGCCCUGGGCUCAACCUGGGAACGGCAUCCGGAACUGUCAAGCUAGAGUGCAGGAGAGGAAGGUAGAAUUCCCGGUGUAGCGGUGAAAUGCGUAGAGAUCGGGAGGAAUACCAGUGGCGAAGGCGGCCUUCUGGACUGACACUGACACUGAGGUGCGAAAGCGUGGGUAGCAAACAGGAUUAGAUACCCGUGUAGUC